RNAcentral lists this ribosomal RNA (923 nucleotides) under Bacillaceae bacterium. RNAcentral's name for it is "bacterial SSU rRNA". It matches the Rfam family "Bacterial small subunit ribosomal RNA", at positions 56 to 942 of the family's 1533-position model. The record is from RNAcentral. Lineage: Bacteria; Bacillati; Bacillota; Bacilli; Caryophanales; Bacillaceae.
UGCAAGUCGUGCGCGUGAAGCGGACAACGCCCUUCGGGGCGUGCGUUUGUGGAUCGAGCGGCGGACGGGUGCGUAACACGUGGGCAACCUGCCGGCAAGACCGGGAUAACGCCGGGAAACCGGCGCUAAUACCGGAUGAAGCCGGCCAUCGCCUGAUGGCCGGACCAAAGGCGGCUCAUGGAGCUGUCACUUGCCGAGGGGCCCGCGGCGCAUUAGUUAGUUGGUGGGGUAACGGCUCACCAAGGCGACGAUGCGUAGCCGACCUGAGAGGGUGAUCGGCCACACUGGGACUGAGACACGGCCCAGACUCCUACGGGAGGCAGCAGUAGGGAAUCUUCCGCAAUGGACGCAAGUCUGACGGAGCAAUGCCGCGUGAGUGAUGAAGGUUUUCGGAUCGUAAAGCUCUGUUGUCAGGGAAGAACCGGUUUCGCUCUAACAGGGCGAAGCCCUGACGGUACCUGACCAGAAAGCCCCGGCUAACUACGUGCCAGCAGCCGCGGUAAUACGUAGGGGGCAAGCGUUGUCCGGAAUUAUUGGGCGUAAAGCGCACGCAGGCGGUCCUUUAAGUCUGAUGUGAAAUCUUGUGGCUCAACCACAAGCUGCCAUUGGAAACUGGGGGACUUGAGUACAGAAGAGGAGAGUGGAAUUCCACGUGUAGCGGUGAAAUGCGUAGAGAUGUGGAGGAACACCAGUGGCGAAGGCGACUCUCUGGUCUGUAACUGACGCUGAGGUGCGAAAGCGUGGGUAGCAAACAGGAUUAGAUACCCUGGUAGUCCACGCCGUAAACGAUGAGUGCUAGGUGUCAAGGGGUUUCCGCCCCCUGGUGCUGAAGUUAACGCAUUAAGCACUCCGCCUGGGGAUUACGGCCGCAAGGCUGAAACUCAAAAGAAUUGACGGGGGCCCGCACAAGCGGUGGAGCAUGU